This 962-nucleotide ribosomal RNA is filed under the name uncultured marine bacterium. RNAcentral describes it as "bacterial SSU rRNA". It matches the Rfam family "Bacterial small subunit ribosomal RNA", at positions 56 to 1062 of the family's 1533-position model. The record is from RNAcentral.
UGCAAGUCGAACGAAGUAGCAAUACUUAGUGGCAGACGGGUGAGUAACAUGUAGGUAUCUACCCUUUGGCCUGGAAUAACACGAGGAAACUUGUGCUAAUACCGGAUAAGUCUUUACGGAGAAAGCUUUAUGCACCAUUGGAUGAGCCUGCACUUGAUUAGUUUGUUGGUGGGGUAAUGGCCUACCAAGACUGUGAUCAAUAGCUGAUUUGAGAGGAUGAUCAGCCACAUUGGGACUGAGACACGGCCCAAACUCCUACGGGAGGCAGCAGUGGGGAAUCUUGCACAAUGGAGGAAACUCUGAUGCAGCGAUGCCGCGUGAGUGAAGAAGGCCUUUGGGUUGUAAAGCUCUUUCGUCGGGGAAGAAAAUGACUGUACCCGAAUAAGAAGGUCCGGCUAACUUCGUGCCAGCAGCCGCGGUAAUACGAAGGGACCUAGCGUAGUUCGGAAUUACUGGGCUUAAAGAGUUCGUAGGUGGUUGAAAAAGUUGGUGGUGAAAUCCCAGAGCUUAACUCUGGAACUGCCAUCAAAACUUUUCAGCUAGAGUUUGAUAGAGGAAAGCAGAAUUUCUAGUGUAGAGGUGAAAUUCGUAGAUAUUAGAAAGAAUACCAAUUGCGAAGGCAGCUUUCUGGAUCAUUACUGACACUGAGGAACGAAAGCAUGGGUAGCGAAGAGGAUUAGAUACCCUCGUAGUCCAUGCCGUAAACGAUGUGUGUUAGACGUUGGAAAUUUAUUUUCAGUGUCGCAGCGAAAGCGAUAAACACACCGCCUGGGGAGUACGACCGCAAGGUUAAAACUCAAAUGAAUUGACGGGGACCCGCACAAGUAGUGGAGCAUGUGGUUUAAUUCGAAGAUACGCGCAGAACCUUACCAACACUUGACAUGUUCGUCGCGACUUUAAGAGAUUAAAGUUUUCGGUUCGGCCGGACGAAACACAGGUGCUGCAUGGCUGUCGUCAGCUCG